Molecule: transfer RNA, 95 nt
Filed under: Armatimonadota bacterium
Lineage: Bacteria; Bacillati; Armatimonadota
Description: Armatimonadetes bacterium tRNA-Sec
Rfam family: Selenocysteine transfer RNA
Source: RNAcentral
GGAGGCGACUGCGUGCCUGGUGGACGUCGCGGUCUUCAAAACCGACGAGGGGGCGAAAGCUCCCUGGCGGGUUCGAUUCCCGUCCGCCUCCGCCA